RNAcentral lists this long non-coding RNA (19437 nucleotides) under Homo sapiens (human). Its description in RNAcentral is "non-protein coding THUMPD3-AS1:79". The record is from RNAcentral. Lineage: Eukaryota; Metazoa; Chordata; Mammalia; Primates; Hominidae.
ACGGUGGCUCCGCGCUGGCGGCGGGUUCCCCCACAAGGUCUUGGGGAAAGGAGCAUGCGCUGGAAGCUGUGUGCUGUUGGUUUUGAGGAUCUUCAGUAAGCUGAAAGCGGAGAGUCAGGGGCCUUGUGUCCUACCAUGGUAUUUGCUAACGUUUAGAGAGUGCUUCCCCUUGCCGAGCACUGGCAAGAAGGCCCUCACCAGAUGCCAGCACCUUGACAUUGGACUUUCCAGCCUCCAGAAAUGUGAGAAAUAAAUGUCUUUACUUUAUAAAUUACUUGUGUUCUAAUGGAAGAAACAGAUAAUACAGAAAAUAUAUACAUCACAUUUCUGUGGUAAUAAGCAUUAGGGAGAAAAAUUAAGCAAGGUGGUUGGUGGACGGUGCUGGAGAGGUGGAGGAAUAUGUCUAUUGUAUGUCAGGUGGUCAGGUAAAGCCUCUUUGAUAAGGUGACAAAGUAGACCCUGAAUGAAACAACAGAGCAAGCUAUUUAGAUAGCCAGGAGGGGAGCAUCCCAGGCAGAAGGCCUCAGCAUAUUCAGCAGGGCCUAGGAAUAGCCAGGUGGCCAGUGAGGCUGCAGAGGAGUGAGCAGGAUAGAGGUGGAAGAGAGAUGGGAUGGAUACAUCGUAGAAGUCAGUGUCUCACAAAUUAUCACCGUGCCUGACCAAAACAAACGAACAAACAGACAAUCACUCUGGCUGCUGCCUGGACAAUGUUAGGGAGCAGGAAUGGAAGCAGUUACUAGGUGAUUUCAUUGGUCCAAGUGAGAGAUGAUGAUAUCUCAAACUAGGAUAUUAGGGGUGGGUGUGGUGAGAACUGUCAAAUUCUGGGGUGUUUUGAAGGAUGGGCUGUCAUUGCUGGUGUUUUAGAUUUGGGUUUGAAAAGAAAGGAGAGGAAGUUUGAGGGUCAGACUUAGCAGAUUUGCUGGUUUAGAGUAACCAUGUCCUGCUGACAGAUGCAUGGCCAAGAACGAGGCUAAACUGUCACAAAGUAAGUACAAGUGGGCACAUAUGCUCUUUAUGGUUCUGGUUUAUUACAAAGAAAAAUGGUAUGUUCGUUUAUAUCAGAAAGAACCAGAUGACCUCCUUGGAAAAUAUUGACUAAAAUGGAUCUUGCUAGAAAAUGCCAGUUUGAGACAGGUAACAUUACAUGUAGAAAUUGAAGCCACUCAUUUCUUUCUAACUGGAAGUAGUGGUUAUAUUAAACUAAAGAGUAAACAAGCAUAUGAUUAAGUGUGAUGAUUCAUAUCAGAUAUAGUGACACAAAUGAGGAGGAGCUCAGUGGUGCUUGUUCCCACAAACCUGGAUAUCUUUUUUACCUUAAUGUCUUCCUAUCCUUGCCUAUUCUUUUUUUUUUUUUUUUUUUUGAGAUGGAGUCUCGCUCUGUCACCCCGGCUGGAGUGCAGUGGCGCAAUCUCGGCUCACUGCAAGCUCCGCCUCCCGGGUUCACACCAUUCUUCUGCCUCAGCCUCCUCAGUAGCUGGGAGUACAGGCGCCUGCCACCAUGUCCGGCUAAUUUUUUUUGUGUUUUUUAGUAGAGACCGGGUUUCACCGUGUUAGCCAGGAUGGUUUCGAUCUCCUAACCUCGUGAUCCACCCGCCUCGGCCUCCCAAAGUGCUGGGAUUACAGGCAUGAGCCACCGCGCCCGGCCUCCUUGCCUAUUCUUAAAGUAAAACAAGGUCCUGGGUAGAAAGUCAGAUAGCACAGCCACUCCCUUGCCCACCUUCUUCCUCUCCUGCAGAGAGAGGCAAGGACUGUUAGCCACUUCUGCUUUUCGUUUCUAUGGUGAUUACCUUCAUGGCUCUAAAAGACACGUUUGUAGUGCCAUUUCUUGCUUUUUCAAUUUUUGCUAUUAUCUGCGGACUUUGUUAUGGUACUUGAAGUUUAGCCUAUUAACAUUACCACCAUCCUGUCGCCCCCUUCCUUCUUCUGCCAUUAUAGCUACAACCCAAUGUAGUUUGUUCCUCUACAUUAAAUUUACCUUUUAAGUGUAAGGGAUAUAUUAGUAUUAAACAUCUUCUUGUUCUGUCAGUUAUGCACAGCAUCUCUUGAUCCCCCGCACUGUGAGACAAGGGUUUCAUUGGCACUCCUGGCCUUUACCUCUCCUCCCUUCCUUGUACUCCCCAAUCUAUUUUGUUAAAAGAAGAUCCCACUUGGCCAGUUGGAUUCCUGUGGGGAUGUAAUUGAAAGAAGGAUGCCCCUACACCUGCUUUUCAUUCAGUACACUACUGAAAUUCCAUCUCCCCCAAGAAAACCUUUUGGGACCUCAUUGAGAGAUAAGAGAUGUAUCUAUUAAUAUAAUCUUAUUAAUGAAAUAAUAGCCUAGGAGUCCAUGAACCUUUAACCCGAAGGACCUUUGUCCUGUCAGGUGUUAACAACUAGAGGGAAAUACAAUCAGCUUUGGCUGUGCUCUAAGCAAGCAGAGGCUUAUUUACUUUUCCCGUGCCCUUUCAAGCCAAGGGCUAUAAAACCGCUUUAGUAACAUAACCCCUGUGAGAGCUUGUUGGUGGACUUAGUGCCAUCACAGUAAAUUUUCAAGAGAAUGUAUAUGAAAUUUAUUCUUCUCCUUGAAUUUCAUGUUGAUAAGUAAGUUGAUUUAAAAGCAGCUCAUUCGUUUGGAAAGGAACUGUAUCCUUAUAACUGAGAUUACUGGAAGAAGGUCAUGAGCUGGGGAAUGCAGCACCCCUGCCACCUAGUGGUUCCUCCUGCUGAAACACUGCUUUUGCAAAGCACAGAAAACACAAAUUGAGUUAGUAUAGGAGUCAAAUACAGCGAAUGUCCUGAAUCUGGGAAACUUCCAUUCUCUCCUCCCUGUGUGAUAUCAGAGGAACGAAAAGAGCACUGACAAGGGAGAAUGUUGUAGGUAAACAUGGAUAGCCAUCAGGUCUCCUGCACAAAGGGGCAGCUGCAGGAAGCAGGAAGUGCAACAAAUGAGCAAAGAAAGGGACAGGAUCCCUCAGCAGUGGUCACUGCAGCAGCAACACGGUGCCAAAGGCAAAGCAGAAUCACCAGCAAGAUCAGCAGGGACAAUGAUGAUAAAGCCACAUAGGCUCAGCAUCAACAACAGCCCUAGAGACUGUGGCCUUGGGACUGUAGUACUGCUUGAUUCAUGGUAAACCAAUCAGGACACUCAGGGAACAACAACAGAAAUCAGCAUUUACAGAGCACAUACUCAGUUGAGGCAGAGUUUUACCUGUAUAUCACAUAAUAGUCUAUGGGGGUAGAUAUUCUUAUUAGCCGUGUUAUACAGGUGAUGAAAUUGAGGCUAACUAACUGGCCUAAAGUCACAGAGUUGAUGAGACUUAGAGCCAAGAUUCAAACGCACACCAAGGUGGCCUGACCCCAGCUGCAGAGCUCUUAACUACAGACAUGCAUUGCUAAAAGAAGGGGAUAUGAUCCGAGAAAUGUGCUGUUAGGUGAUUUUGUCAUUGUGUGAACCCAUAGCCAGCUACACACUGUUAACAAAAGACCAUGAGGCCAGGCAUGGUGGCUCACGCCAGUAAUCCCAGCACUUUGGGAGGCCGAGGUGGGUGGAUCACCUGAGGUCAGGAGUUUGAGACCAGCCUGGUCAACAUGGUGAAACCCUAUCUCUACUAAUAAUACAAAAAUUAGCCAGGCGUAGUGAUGCGUGCCUGUAAUCCCAGCAACUCAGGAGGCUGAGGCAGGAGAAUCACUUGAAGCUGGGAGGUGGAGGCAGCAGUGAGCUGAGAUCGUGCCACUGUGCUUCAGCCUGGGUGACAGAGUGAGACUCCAUCUCAAAAAAAAAAAAAAAAAAAAUGUCCAUAACAUCUGUGGAGGAAAAGGGGAGAGUUUUAUUUUCUGUAAAAAACAAUCUGCAGAUUGGGGAAAUGCAGCUUCAGGUGUAAAACAGAAGUGGGCUCUAAGCAGGGUGGAAAGUUAGAGAUUAUAAAGGCAAAAACUGCAGGACAGGGGAGGGUAAUCAGGGGAGUCAGAAACAGAGUGUCGAUUAGAUGGCCUUAAAGCCCCAAAUCACCAGUCUCUCUUAAUUGGCUGGUUCCAGGUUGUCUGUUGGCAGGAGGUGGUCUUGUGGUGGUCAACUGGGGAAUUCCCAGCUGCCGUUGUUUCCAGGAACUCUUCUUUGACUUGGUUGCAGAAAAACAGGUUUUGCAGCAUUCUCUAAGGACACGAAGAGCUUGACUGCUCCCUCACCCUUCCAUGGCCCCUUGGGUCUGUUUUUACUUUUGAGCCACAGAGAAUCCAUUUUGUCUGUUAACUGGGGGUAUAAUUUGACAACACCUAGGCUGUUUGAUACAGCCUGUUGCUCCUAGGCUACAAACCUGACAGUAUGUUACUGUAUUGGAUACUGUAGGCAAUUGUAACACAAUGGUAAGUAUAUGUGUAUCUAAACAUAAAAAAGGUACAGGAAAAAUAGAGUAUUAUAAUCUUAUGGGACCACUUUUGUAUAUGCGGUCCAUGCAUUCACUAAAACUUUGUUACGCAGCACAUGACUGUUCCAGGCUCUUCUUCUUCCCUCAGGGAGGAGGGAAUAUGGGGUUCAAUCCCUCUAACUCUACUGACCUUAUUGAGGGAUGCUUGUGAAUUGGGAUCCCUUAUUGAAGGAUGCUUGUGAAUUGGAACUCUAACGCGAUUAAGAUUGGUCCUAGAUCUUCCACCAACUUGCAAAAGGAUAUUUAGCCUUUCAGGAACAUUUUCUUUGACUGGAAAAUAGGGAUACAAUGGUGACUAUCUCAUAAAUUGCUGGGAAGUUUCACUGAGAUAAGGUAAAAUUUCUGGCACAUGGCAAAUGAAGUAGAUUGCCUACAAAGGUUUUUCAACAAUUCUUCUCAUGGUUAUAAGUACCACUAUUGCUUUCUAGAAAAGGUGGUAUCUCGGCUGGGUUUAUGAUUUACUUUGACCCCCUAGAAUGUGGCAGAUGUGUCACUGGCUAAUUCCAAGUCUAGGUUGCAAGAGCCUCCUUUUUUCCUCUCUUGGACUGCUCUUGCCUCUAUGUAAAGAAGCCCAGCCUGAACUCUUGCAUGUUGAAAGACCACAUGAAAAAAGAGGCAUGAGGGAGCCAGCAUCCUAGCAGAGCCCACCAUCUGACUACAGUCACAUGAGCAAGCCUAGGUGAGCCCAGAACUCACCUGCCAACCCCCGGGAUGACAAGAAAUAAUAAAUCACUGUGGUAAACUACUAAGUUUUGGGGUAGUUUGUUAUGUAGCAAAUAAUAAGUUCUCAGUUAAUGGUAUCUAUUAAUAUUAUGGUUGGUGCUGGUGAGAAAUUCAGCCAGCUAGCUGGCUCAUCAUUAGGCCACUGAUUUUUUUUCCCUUUCACCAGAGUAGCUGGAAGAAAGAAGAGUUACAUGUGCAAGUGAACACUGCUUAUUACAGAUGUGUCUGAUCUCUUUAUUAAAACAGAAAGACUAUUCAGAAAGUCUAUUCAGAAAGACUUUGUUAGCACCUCAAAUUACCAUCUACAUUUGAAAUAAUGUGGAAGCAUAUUUCUUCAAACAUAGUUACAACUCAGACUUUUCACUAAACCCAUUGUACUGGGACCCUCCUAGCCAUCAUGUUGAAGAGUCUGAGGCAUGGACAGGGACUUAUCCAUUUCAUCCAGCAUCUCAAAGCCCUGAAGAUGAUGCUUUACUCUAACCUUCUUCUCCUUUGCAUUCCCCUCCCUAAAUUAUCUUUUUCUGUCCAUACAUAUCCUUUCCCUCUCUCCUUGCCUUUCCUAUCUCUUUUCUUUGUUGUGAUGAUUAAAUAAGACCUUCCCUACUGAAAUGUAAGCUCCAAGAAGGAGAUUUUCAUCUGUUUUGUUCUCUACAAAAAUAUUCUUUGCUUAGAAAAGUGCCUGGCACACACAAGGUGUGCAGUGAAUAUGUGUUGACUGAAUUAAAUUGUGCACGUAAAGCACUUAGGACAGUGUCUGACAUAGAGUAGAUGGCACUCAAUAAAUAUAACCUAUGGCAACUCAGGACUAUAAUAAAUGAAAUUAUUCACAUUUGUCUUUUUUUUUUUACAGAUCACUCCUUUAUUGUACAGAUCAGGAAAAAGGAUUUAGUACUGCUAUGCUCAAAUGAACACUGGGCCCAUGUGUCAGGGCCAAGCAACUAGAACAUGAUUCAGAAAUCAGUCAGAGAGAGACACACUUGGACAAGACCAAGAGGCAUUUCAUUGUCACGAAACAAGGUGGGGGAGGGAUUCCAAAACACACAGCAGGAAGUACUUCUAACCCUCAGAGGUCAAGGAGCUUAUUCCAUGUUGGUAUGAGGAAUGGCUUAUUUUCUGAUGACCACAUGUGGGACUAUUUCAACUGCCACGAGAAAUCCCAGAAGGAUUAUUGUUUUGUAUUAUUUAUAUAUACUAUACCUUUUUAAAAAAAUAAAAUAAAUGUAACACAUAAACUAAAUUCAGGAUUGAUCCCAACCUUCUGGAGCCAGCUUCUCUGGGGUCAGGGAAGAAACAGUUGUCAUAUCACCAUAGAGGUUAUAUUCAUCUUCCACUGGAAUGAAUAGAGCCCCCAGGCAGUGGCUUAACAGGCUGUCUUGCUUCAUUGGUCAUGGCUUGGCAUGGUUCCUCCCCACAAAUCCUUAGUAAACAAAGCACUUGUGAAAACCCAGGUCACUACCUUUAAACUCUGUUGGACAAGAGGAGCUUUCCACAGCUUGGGCUGAGAAGCCUUGCCCUAGAAGUGCUGUUCUGACUAGAUUGUAUGAAGGGAGUGGGUGCAGGAGACAAAAUGGCUAAAAUGAAAAUGGGAGCCACUGGUGCCCAUCUGCAGCUACAGCUCAAGAUGCCUACAGAUGUGGUCAGUGUGACAUGUGCAGGAGGGAGGGGCAGGGGGACGCGAUGGGCAGGGAGGGUGCUCCUGGGGACAGUAGCCUGCCCGCUGGCCUUUACUUCUUGGCCUUACCCUGGGCAGCCACAGCUUCCAUGGCUUUACGCAUGGUCUCUUCAUCCCCCAGGAACUGUAUGGGUUUCAAGUUCUUGUCCAAUUCAUAGACAACGGGAAUACCAGUGGGCAGGUUCAGCUCCAUGAUAGCCUCUUCAGAGAGGCCCUCCAGAUGCUUGACAAUGCCCGGGGGGCUGUUGCCAUGGGCUGCAAUUAGUACCUGCUUCCCCUCCUUGAUCUGGGGAACUAUUUCUUCAUUCCAAAAGGGCAGAGCCUUGGCAAUAGUGUCCUUCAGACUCUCACAGGAGGGUAGCUGAUCUUCAGUGAGGUUUGCAAACCUGCGAUCCUUACUGAUGUUGUAGAAAGGAUGGUCGGGCUCCAUUAGAGGUGGUGGGACAUCAUAGGAGUGCCUCCAGAUCUUCACCUGGGCCUCACCAUGCUUUGCAGCAGUUUCUGCUUUAUUGAGACCGAUCAGACCCCCAGAGUGCUGCUCAUUGAGGCACCAAUCCUCACUACUGGCAGCCACGUCUGAUCAAUGGCAUCUAGCACUGUCCAGAGGGUCUGGAUCACUCUCUUCUGCACUGAGGUGAAGCAGAUGUCAAACUCAGCCGGCUUCUCACAGCACCUGCCUGCCACACUUCGCCUCCUUAUGGCCCGCUGGGCUCAGGUCGGUGUUGUACCAGCUGCUGAAGCGGUUCUCCGGAUUCCACAUGCUCUCGCCAUGCUGGAUCAACACCAAUUUGUAGGCAGCCAUGGUGGCGGGCUGGGGAUGCGACGCUGACUGGGGUUCGCGGAUUCUGGAGGCACAUUUGUCUUUUUAAAUGUUUGAUUACUUUUAGUCUUUCUCCCUUUUCUUUCCACUCUUCUUUUCACUCUUUGUCUCUUUCUUGUUUUCUCUCUUCCUUAGUCAUUGCAUAUUCUCUGCUACCCUUACUGUGGUCUGCCAGGGACUCUCAUAGAUGUCAUUUCACCUACCACAGAGAAUGUGCAGAGAAAAGGUUUUGGAGCUUUGUCUUGGAUGAAAUGUAACUAUUUGUGAUUCAUAGCUGACUUAGUACUGCACAUAAAAUUCUACUGUUGCGGUGAACCCAAUUUUGGUGCUACUGAAUAAUGAGGAGCCUAGAUGAUUGAAAAUGGCAAGCUCAUUAGGUUGUAGCCUAACAAAUGCCUGGCAGUACAUGUCUGUGAGUGUGUGGGUGUUUCUAGUGCCUGUUGGUGAGUAACCAUGCUACUCUUGGCAGUAGAAAUGUGAGCAAAAUCAAGUUGUACUGAUUUAGCCAAUUUUCUCUUCUCUUCCUCCAUACGGGAAUGGAAAUGUAUUACUCAGUAGAUCAGUUCUUUCUCAGGCUGGUAACAUUACAGAAUCCCUGUCGAAGUGCAAGUUGGGCUGGUGGAAAUCAGAUUUCCACAUCCUUUUGUAAGCUUUGUUUGUCAAGGUAAAUCCCAUACAUUUUAAAAGCAUGACUUCCUAGGGCUAGAUGGGAAAAUAAGAAGCUUUGAACCUGUCACCAGAAUCAAUUGUACAGAUGUCUCCAUUUCCUUGGAUAGUAACUUAUAUAGGAAGAUCUGUCUCCUCUUUUCUGCUAGUCUUUCAUAUUCUAAUAAAGAGUAUGAAUCUGCAGGUCAGUGGCUGAGUAGCUUGGGCCGAGCACAGAGCAGUGUUAAUGUAGUUCUCAACACAGCCUUGUUUAUGCUUAGAUUAGGCUCAUCGGUAGCUCAGACCUCGUAGCCCUGCUGAUAUUUAACAGAGUCCUGCAUAUAUUCUUCUGUAAUGUAAGAUCAGUGUUUGAAAAACUGAAAGUUGCCCUGUCUCUACAAAUUAAAAAAAAUUAUCAUUUAAAAAAUUAUACAUAGAUGUAUGCCUACUCACCAGCCAGGCAUGGUGGUGCAUGCCUGUGGUCCCAGCAACUUUGGAGGCUGAAUCUCUCGCCUAAAUCCGAAAGAUUGAGGUUGCAGUGAGCCAUGAUCACGCCACUGCACUCCUGCCUGGGCAGCAGAGCAAUACCCUGUCUCAAAAACAAAGAAACAAAAAAAGCAACAGAGUUGGGAGGGGAGUGAGUCUUUGAGCCUCCCUGUCAUCUUUCCUCAAAAUUGCUUUUAGUUGGCUGGGCACGGUGGCUCAUGCCUAUAAUCCCAGCACUUUGGGAGGGCGAGGUGGGCGGAUCACCUGAGGUAAGGAGUUCGAGACUAGCCUGGGCGGAUCACCUGAGGUAAGGAGUUCGAGACUAGCCUGGCCAACAUGGUAAAACCCCAUCUCUACUAAAAAUACAAAAACUAGCCAGGUGUGGUGGCAGGCGCCUGUAAUCCCAGCUACUUGGGAGGCUGAGGCAGGAGAAUUGCUUGAACCCAGGAGGCAGAGGUUGCAGUGAGCCAGGAUCGCGCCAUUGCACUUCAGCCUCAGGGGAGAAGAGUGAGACUUUGUCUCAAAAAAAAAAAAAAAAAAGAAAAAAUUGCUUUUAGUUGCUCUAUUCUUGUUCCUCCCUUGAAACAUCUGAUCAUCUUAUAGUCAGUAACUUACCAGCUCUCCUUAGGAGUUAGCCAAUGUAGUAAAUCUAGGAAACAAACCUAGACUCAGGGUGGGGAGAUUUGGAGGCAUCUAGACCAUCAGUUCUUGAACAUGCUCACUUAAUUGGGUCAAAAGACCCCAAGAUAUACCUACCCUAAAUUCAUUUCACUUCUGGUGGGGAGUAAUUUGGUGAAAUUAAAAAUGAAAGAGGAACAAAAUAACAACCAAAAAUGGCAACAUCAUAGCAUGUUUAAUGAACAAAAUGAUUAAAAAUAGAAAAACAAGUCUGGCAUGCUGGCAAGUGCCUAUAGUCCUAGCUACUUGGGAGGCUGAGAUGGCGGAACACUUGAGCCCAGGAGUUCAAGGUGCAGUGAGCUAUGAUUUCACCACUGCACUCCAGCCUGGGUGACAGAGCAAGACCCAAUCUCUAAAAAAUAUAAAAAAUAAAAAAAUUUAAAGAUAGAAAAACAACAUUACACUUUAACAUACUAAAAAAAAAAAUCCUUGAAAAUUGUGGAAACUCCAGCAACCUGUGUUUUCACAUGUGCAGUAAGAAAUUUGCAUCAUUGCCAAACUUUCUGUGAAGAGCAAAGUUUUCAAUACUUGGCACUACUGCACGUUUUUUGUGAAUAUAAAAUUUUAAUUACAGUUAAUAAUGAACAAAGGAAGCUAUUAAGGACUUAAGUCAUAUGUAAAAAUGAAAGUCCUUGGGCUGGCAUUUGCUGUAAGAAUUAAAGAACUUGGAUUUAAAAAUCUCUUCUUGGUUCAUCCAGAAGACUAAUGGGCCAUACUGUGCUUGGAGGCACUAUGGCCUAGAUUACUAUGACAGUCUUGUUUCUGGGCCUUCUCUGCUCUUCUGUUCUCUCUCUCUUUCUUUUUUCUUUUCUUUUUUUUUUUUUUUUUUUGAGUUGGAGUCUUGCUCUGUCACCCAGGCUGGAGUGCAGUGGUGCAAUGUUGGCUUACUGCAACCUCCAUCUCCCGUGUUCAAGUGAUUCUCCUGCCUCAGCCUCCCAGGUAGCUGGGAUUACAGGUGCCUGCCACCAUGCCCGGCUAAUUUUUUUGCAUUUUUAGUAGAGACGGGGUUUCACCAUGUUGGCUAUGGCUGGUUUUAAACUCCUGGCCUCAAGUGAUCCACCUUCCUCGGCCUCCCAAAGUGCUAGGAUUACAAGCGUUAGCCACCGCACCUGGCCUCUUUUUUCUUUUUUUUUUGAGAUGGGGUCUUGCUCUGUUACCCAGGCUGGAGUGCAGUGGUGUGUUUAUGGCUCACUGUAGCCUUCACUUCCUGGUGGGCUCAAGCAAUACCCUCACCUCAGCCUCCAGAGUAGCUGGGACUACCACCCCUGGCUGUUUAUUUUUAUUUUUGCAGGGACAGGUGUCUCCCUGUUUUGUCCAGGCUGGUCUCAAACUCCUGGCCUCAGGCAAUUUUCCUGCCUGGGCCUCCCGAAUUGCUGAGAUUACAUGUGUGAGCCAUCAUGCCUGGCCUGCUUUUCUGUUCUUGAACCUGCAACAGUUCUCCCAGUCUUUGAGUCACAAUCUGGCUUGUACAUUAAAAUGAUCAUUCUACUGGUAGAAGUAUUGGAUAAGACCUUUCUGGGAGAGUAUUUGGCAACAGGUUUAGAGUCUUAAAUAUGUAGCCUCCUUGGCUUUUUUUUUUUGAGACGGAGUCUCGCUCUGUCACCAGGCUGGAGUGCAGUGGUGCAAUCUCAGCUCACUGCAACCUCUGUCUCCCAGGUUCAAGUGAUUCUCCUGCCUCAGCCUCCUGAGUAGCUGGGACUACAGGCGCACGCCACCACACCCAGCUAAUUUUUGUAUUUUUAGUAGAGACAGGGUUUUUCACCAUGUUGGCCAGGAUGGUCUUGAUUUCCUGACCUCGUGAUCCACCCGCCUAGGCCUCCCAAAGUGCUGGGAUUACAGGCAUGAGCCACCACGCUUGGCCAAUAUUUUUUUAAUAUUAGGAAAUAUAGAAAGGUAGUAGGGGGUUGGUUAAACAAAUGAUGCUAUUUCCAUUGGAUAAAAUCUCCUGUUUUCUUUCUUUCUUUUUUUUUGUUUUUUGUUUUUGAGACGGAGUCUGACUUUGUCACCUAGGCUGGAGUGCAGUGGUGUGAUCUCGGCUCACUGCAACCUCCGCCUCCCGGCUCCAAGCAAUUCUCCUGCCUCAGUCUUCUGAGUAACUGGGGAUUAUAGGUGCCUGCCGUCACACCUGGCUAAUUUUUGUAUUGUUUUUAUUUUUGGUUUUUUUUGAGACGGAGUCUCUGUUGCCCAGGCUAGAGUCCGGUGGCACGAUCUCAGCUCAUUGCAACCUCUGCCUCCCAGGUUCAAGCGAUUCUCCUGCCUCAGCCUCCUGAAUAGCUGGAAUUACAGGCACCCACCACAAUGCCCAGCUAAUUUUUGUAUUUUUAGUAGAGACGGAUUUUCACCAUGUUGGCCAGGCUGAUCUCCAACUUCUGACCUCAGGUGAUCCGCCCGCCUCGGCCUCCCAAAGUUCUGGGAUUACAGGCGUGAGCCACCGUGCCCAGCCAAUUUUUGUAUUUUUAGUAGAGAUCGGCUUUCACCACGUUGGCCAGGCUGGUCUCCAACUCCUGACCUCAGGUGAUCUGCCCGUCUUGGCCUCCCAAAGUGCUGGGAUUACAGGUGUGAGACACCGUGCCCACGCUAUUUUCAUUAUAAAAAUGAUAAUGAGUGUUACUGAUACAGAAAAAUUGUUCCCAAGACUAAUUUUUAAUUAUAAUUUUUAAAAGUAGGGCAGGCUGUGUGUGGUGGCUCAUGCCUGUAAUCCUAGAACUUUAGGCAGAUUAGAAGUUCGAGGCCAGCCUGGGCAACAUGGCAAAACCCUGUCCCUACAAAAAAUACAAAAAUUAGCUGGGCAUGAUACUGUGCGCUGUAGUCCUGCUCCUCGGGAUGCUGAGGUCGGAGGAUAGCUUGAGACUGGGAGGUCAAGGCUGCAGUGAGCCAUUAUUGUGUGUCUGCACUCUAGCCUGGGUGACAGAGAAAGACCCUGUCUCAAAAAAUUUAAAAGUAGAGCAUAUAAGAGUAUGCAUAAUAUAAUCUUUUUAAUAUAAAGAUGUAUGCCUAUUCAUAGAAAAUGGCUAGAAGUAUAUAUAAUACAAUGCUACUAGUAAUUGUGUUUUUGUACUAUUAAGGAUUUUUCUGAAAUGUCUACAAUAAACAUAUAUGACUUCUAUAAAAAAGAAAAAAGUAUUUACAAAUACUUGAAACAAAAGAUUACUUUGGCAGCAUUUAUGAGAAUGUGAAUGAGAGAGACUGGAUGAGAGAUUGUUGUAGUAGUUCGGGAAAAAGGCAAUGUAAGUAAGAACCAAGGUCAUGGUGUGGAUGGAGAAGGAAAAGCUGAUUUAAGACAUAUUCAACAGCCCUACGAGGACUAUAAACACAUACCACACCUUCAAGUCAAUAAUAAAAUUGGUCUUUCAAAGAGCCAGCAUGAUUCUUCCAUAUCCUUAAAGUAUCUUCAAAUACGCAUUUGAAGAAACUUGGGGUUUUGGCUUUCCAGCUUGUUUAGCUACGUUAAUGGACAUACAGUUGAGCAAAAAGGAGAAUAUGAGAGGAGGAUCAGACUGUGGAAGAAGACAAUAAAUUUAAUUUUGCAUGUGUGCAGUUUGAAGGGCUUGUGGGAGAUGUACUAAGAGCUGAGCAGGGGAUGCCAGGGGACAAGGAGUCCAGUGAGAAGAUCGAAGAGGCAUGGUGGGCCCGGACAGCCCAGAAUGGGCUAGUCUGGGUUGAAAGCCUGGCAAGAAUGACCAGUUGGACAAGUUCGAGGUUGCUUUCAUUUCAGCUUUCUGUGAAACCUGCAAGUAAUCAGAACAGGCACAGGAAAUGAGAAUAAUAAAAGCGAAUGAGUACACUCUGGAGGUUCUUCUGCCUCCUCAUGGAGUUGUAACCAAAGUUCAAGGGUGAGUGAAGCCAUUCUCAAAUCUGAUCUUCAAUUCACUGUUUUUCAGGUAGGGAAAGCCCUCAAGAGUCUAAGUAAAGGCACUGAAGGCCACUUUAUUCCUUGCUGUGCCAUAGGCACAUGUUGAUGUGUUUUCUUUUCUUACUACCUCUUCACUGGCAUCAGGCCCACCCAUGGUAUAACAAGAUGGUCAGAGAGACCAGAGGAAGAAGUCAAAGGAAGAGAGAAUAUCAGGGAAGAAAUUGUCAACAAUGGCAGCUGCCAGAGAAGUCAAGAAAUAUAAGUACUGAAAAGUUCCGGUGACACUUGGCAAGGUGCAGGCUAUUUGCAGCCAUGUAUGUAGAGUACCACCAAGCUCAGAUUCCCGUGAAAGUCAUUUUGAUUCUCAUGAAAUACAAUCAAAAUGAUUUUUUGCUUUCCUUUUUUUUUUUUUGAGAUGGAGUCUUGAUUUGUCUCCCAGGCUGGAGUACAGUGGCGCAAUCUCAGCUCACUGCAACCUCUGCCUCCCGGGUUCAAGCGAUUCUUCUGCCUCAGCCUCCCGAUUAGCUGGGACUAUAGGCAUGCGCCACCACGCCCAGGUAAUUUUUGUAUUUUUAGUAGAGAUGGGGUUUUGCCAUGUUGGCCAGACUCGUCUCCAACUCCUGGCCUCAGGUGAUUCGCCUGCCUCGGCUUCCCGAAGUGCUGGGAUUACAGGUGUGAGCCAUCACCCCCGGCCUGAUUUUUAGCUUUCCUAUUUGACUUUUAAUUGAAACUUCGGCAAAAGUUACUGUUGUUAGCAAAGUGUUAGUAAAGCCUGUAUCUAGAUUCUCAAGCAGUUUGGGAUAAGAUGAUUCUAUGAGUCAGUGAUCUGUAGGGUGUUAGGAGAACGCCGGUAGCACAAAUGUCUCUUGGCCUUACCGACUGGUGAAGACAAAUGUGACAUUUACAGCCAUACUUCAAUCCAUGUCUACCAGAAAGCCUAGUCAGUCUAGAAAUCAGUGGCCCAGGCCCGGUGCGGUGGCUCACACCUGUAAUCUCAACACUUUGGGAGGCCGAGGUGGGUGGAUUGCUUGAGGUCAGGAGUUCAAGACCAGCCUGGCCAACAUGGUGAAGCCCCAUCUCUAUAACGCAAACAAACAAACAAACAAAUGUAGCAAUCAGUGGCCCAAGUAGUUGACCAAGUUGUCUGCCAGCCUCCUUUGGGUGCUGACCUGCACCCUGCUCAGGUAGGGACCACAGCACAGCCUGUGUUGCUGCUGACCUCUUCUCCCAACACUUUCCCCCCAGAAUACUGAUCUCCAGUAUUCUUCCACAGCUGUAAGCAGCUGGGAAAUAUUUUCCUUCUCCUGGGUAUUUAUUUCAGGGGAGGCUCCUAUAGCUGAGCUCUUGAGCCCUAGGGACACAUUCUUUUCUUCGUGCUUUAAGCAUCUCUUUCCCAGAGCAAAGGAGCACUUGAGUGUGGAGGGUAGGGAAGAAAAUCCUACUGGACUGGGGGAUAAUCAGGCAACUGUUCUAGGAACCUUCAGUGUCCACAUCGUGCUGCUCUCUCUAGCCCACUGCUAUGGACUGAAUUGUGUUCCUCUCCCCUCCUCAAAUUAAUAUGCCGAAGCCCUAACCUGCUAUGUGACUCUAUCUGGAGCGAGGGUGUUUAGGAAGUAAUUAGGGUUAUAUGAGGUAUUAAGAGUGGUGUCCUAAUCACAUAGGACUCUGGCUUUAUAAGAAGAGGAAGAUUCCCAUUCUCUCUUUCUGUCUCAAUCUGUUAUGUGAGGACACUUUCUGCGAGACAGGAAGAAGGCCCUCACCAAAACCCAGCCAUACUGGCUCCUUGAUCUUGGACUUCCAGCCUCUAGAAUUGUGAGAAAAUAAAUUUCUGUUGCUUAAAUUACUUAGUCUAUGGCAUUUCGUUAUAGCAGCCCAGGAUGCCAGACUCCUUCAUUCACGGUGAUUUUCUUUUAGUGGCCCCAUUGUCUCUUCUAAUAGUCUAGCCUUUUCUUAGAGCAACUCCCAGUCCGUCAUACAGGGUUGUAUAUCUCAAUUGUGGGCAGAGUCCAACAUCUCUUCCACAGGGCUCUUGUACACAUCAAGAAAUGGGGCUGGGUACUCAUUUUAUUGUUUCUAGAUCUUCCCAGCAAGUAAAAAAACUACUGGAUGUUGGUUUUCCCAGAGCAUAUGAUGGACUUCUGGGAUGACUCAGGUCUAUCAGGGUCAUCUCUGACUCAUGGAAUCCUGUUACCCUUCUAUGGCUGGACAAGAGAAACACAUUAAAGGAGGGCAUGUGAGUCUCUAGCACAAUUAUAAUUACUGGGGUUUAUAAAGCCAGGUGAAUGUCAGAGUUAAUAAUGCUUAGACUCUUCUGGAAGGGGUGAGGCAGCUCCAUUCUAGUAGUCUAUUGGAGAAGCUUCAUUUGGGGCCUUAAACCAAAGUAAUACAAAUCUUUUUACAUCUGUCACUGUUUAUUAUUUAGUUUUCCAUCUGGCCUGCUCUGAAGCAGGAGGGGGAAGAGAGCACAGAGGGAAAUCAUGAGCUCUUUGGAGGAAUAGUGCCAGAUAUUAAAUCUAUAAACAAAAUAGAUUGAACUGGAAAGAAUGAGUCAGAGACAAAGGAAGCAGUAGAAGCAGUGAAUAUCACCUUGGGAAAUAUCACCUGAAAGUGCUGGCAGAAUCUUUCUGGUGUAUUUGUGAUCGUCCCUGUGGUAGAUACCUUUAAAUCCAAUCAGCACAAUUUGGUGCCUGAACUGCUUGUGCUUCACUCCUCUCUGUUGGGGUCCCUUUUCAUUGUUUCCUCCUGUCUAGCCCUAUAUUCAUUUCUAUAAUGCAAGCUGAUGACCCAUGGUGAGAUUUUUCUUUCCUCUGGUGAUAAUGAUCCUGUCACUCCAGGUUCCUGUUUCAGCAGAGCAUGAAGAGAGUUAUGCUGAUUGAUUGAGACCAAGCUGGAGUGAAAUAAGGAUUUUACCUGAGGGUCCAUUAGCCUUCCUGCAUCAUGCCCCAGAGAGUACUGAAAACUGGGAGUUAUCCAAGUGCCUUGCCUUCUUGGGGUUAGCUUGUAUAGAGGUUGCAAACUGGCAGCCCCUAGGUUAGGUGUAUUUUAUUUGGCCCACCCAGGGUUUGAAAUUAGUUGUCAACAUUUAAAUAUAGGGAUAUUUCCUGCUUCUCUUUAAAGACUGGGAGAACACUUAAUCUGCAUCCCCUUCUGGAAACAAUCAGCCGAUGCUGACUGGGUCUCUACCCUUUAAUGAAGUCGUGAGCUCUCCAUAUCACAUUGCCACAGUCACAUAUCACAUUGCCACUGCUGCACAUGUUUAUGUUGGCCACCAUAGGCACUUGAGUUUGUGUCCUCUGAUCUAUAGGAAAGAAAGGAACUAGUGUUUAUUGAGUCCCUUUUAUGCAUGAACCACUGUACCUUGUAAUUUGCAUACAUCAUUUGAUUUUUUUAAAAACCCAGUAAGAUUUAAGCUCCCUGCCUUUAGGGACCAUGCCUGCUUCUUUUGCCACUGUGAGAGUGCUCAAGACUUGGUAUAGUCGUAAGUGGGAGCUGAACAGUAUUUGCUGAAUGAAGGUAUGUAUGAAUGCAUAAACAAAUGAAUAAGGUAUUUUUUAUCACAUUUUUGUAGGUGAGAAAACCAAGGCCCAGGGCAGUUAAGUAACCGGUUCAGAAUCAUAAUCAUAUGGCCCAUAGGGCUGACAGGAUUCAAAUAUGGGACUGUGCAACUCCAGAGGUCCAGUGUGGAGAAGGGAAAAGACCAUGGGUCAUUUCAGGGCUAAGUACACGAAGACUCUUUGUAAGUCCCUGCAGAAUUGAUUGACAGUGCACAAACAUAUUUUCGUAAGUACUAGCUUCCAGAAGAAUGCACGUUUUUUAGCUUAUGAAAUUUGUCUAAAACCUACUGUGUAUGGAUACCUUCAGCUUUGGGAUUGUAUAAUAUUGAGGCUCUGCAGUAGAGGGUACGUGCCAUUGGUUUGGCAUGUAAUGAGAGCAGAAUAUUUCUGUCUACAGUUGACUUGUGUUCUGUAAAUGUGGUAACAUUCCAAAGUUAAUUUUCCUUGUAUAUCUAAGGAACUCCUUCCAGGGCUUAUUUUCGUUAACUUCUUGCUGAUGGUGCAUGGUUAACACUAUUCAGUGCAGAGCUGCAUUCAGGAAUGACUAUAAUUAAAAGUGCUUCUUUGUGAGGCUUAUCAAGAAGACCUGAGGCUGAUUGAGGAAGCAUGCCUCUGAAAAUGAAGCCACUUGCAAAGAGAAGGGAUUGGUCUGGCUGAGGGAAAUGGGAAGGAGAGUAAGAGUUUAAUCCUAUGACUUAGUUUCCAUCCCAAUGCUGGUGAUUUCCAAAUUCAUCUAUAAUUUUGACAUCCUUCACACAAGCCUCAUAAUUCCAAAAUUGGCUAGAUAUUUCUUACAGACCUCUUUCUACCAUGAUUCUAAACCGAACAUAUCAAUAACUGAACACAUCACAUUUUGCCCCUGAACCAGCCUUUCCUUUGGUGGCUAUUUAGUCUUUCACCUACCAAGCUCCAAACUGUGGAGGUUUCUACUACUCUUUUUUUAUUUAGAAUCUAUAUAUGCAAGCACUUUUCCAUAAAAUGGCUCAUUAUCUUCCUUUUCUGCCCCAUUCCCCCCCAAGUGCAAGCCUCUAUCACUUCAGACCUGGAUUGCUAAAGUAGCUUCCUAGCAGGGCUCUAGCUUCUAGGCUGUUUCUGCUUUAAUAUCACUGCACACGACUUCAAAUUUAUCUUACUAAAAUCCUGUUUUCAUGUCCCUUUCCACAUUCCAAAUCCAUAUUAUCUUCUACUGGCUUAGAGUAGCUUUUCCCAAAGUAUGUUAUGUGAAACUUUAGUUCCAUGGGAGAUUAAUAGGUGUUAAGUAAAAACUGGCAUUGUAAUCAAAUGCCAGAAUUGACAAAAUUAUAAACCAUUUCUUUCCUGCAGGAUGAUUCAUAACUUUGAUGUGUUAAUAUGCCUUAGUAUGUAUUGUUUUCCAAGACAUGUAUUUUCACAGAGCCUCUUUUGGUGGAGUAUUUAAUUGGCCUAGGUCUUCAUAAACUACAUUUUGUGUCUUAGUCUAUUUUGGGUUGCUGUAACAGAAUACCACAAACUGGGUAACUUGUAAAUAAUUGAAAUUUAUUUGACUCAACAGUUCUUGAGGCUGGAAAGUCCAAGAGCAUGGCACUGGCAUCUGGUGAGGGCCUUCCUGUUGCAUUAUCCCAUGGCAGAAGGGGGAAUGGUAAGCAAGCCUGCAAGACACAGAGAGAAAAUUGGGCCAAACUUAUCCUUUUUUAUCAGGAACCCAAUCCAGUAGUAACAGCAUUAAUCUAUUCAUGAGGGAUUCUCUAAUCACCUGUUUAUCAUCCUACCUCUUAAUCUCAUCAAAAUGGCAAUUAAAUUUCAACAUGACUUUUGGAGGGGACAUUUGAAUCAUAGCAUUUGGGAAAUGCUAGUCCACAGAUAAUAAGUCCAUAUUUCCUGUGAUGAUAAAUUUUGUGUGUCAAAUUGACUAGGCCAUGGUUACCCAGAUAUUUGGUCAAACAUUAUUCUGGGUGUUUUUGUGAAGGUAUUUUUCAGAUGAUAUUAGCAUUUAAAUUGGUAGACUGAGUAAAGCAUGUUGCUCUUUUCAUGUGGGUGGGCCUCAUAAAACCAGUUGAAGGCCUGAGUAGAACACAAAGGCUAAGAGUAACUUUGCCUGCCUGACUGACUUUGAACUGGGACAUCAGCUUUUUCCUGCCUUUUUGCAAGGGCUCACCUGGGUCUCCAGCUUGCCAGUUUACCUUGCAGAUCUUAGAAAUUGUCAGCCAGCCAGACUCAUGCCUGUAAUCCUAGCACCUUGGGAGUGAAAGGUGGGAGGAUUGCUUGAGGCCAGGAGUUCGAGACCAGCCUAGGCAACAUAGUGAGACUCCAUCUAUAUUAAAAAAUAAAAGAGAGAGAGAGAAAUUGGCAGCCUCUAUAAUUACAUGAGCCCAUUCAUGUAUAGAUAUAUCUCCAUUUUAUUGGUUCUGUUUCUCUGGAGAACUCUAACAUACUCUCUGUUGUCUUCUUCAAGGCUGUUUAAAGUAAGACUCUUAUUCCACCUAUCUGAGUUUAUUUACUUCCAUUUCUCAACACAUAUCUUCUGCCCCAGCUAAGAUGGUCUCCUCACUCUCUAAAUACCCCUUGCAGAAUUCACCUCCAGGCUUUGCUCAAGUUGUUUCUUUUGUUCAGAAUGUGGCCCUCCC